UUGCACGCUGGCGGCAGGCCUAACACAUGCAAGUCGAGCGGAUGAAGGGAGCUUGCUCCUGGAUUCAGCGGCGGACGGGUGCGUAAUGCCUAGGAAUCUGCCUGGUAGUGGGGGAUAACGUCCGGAAACGGGCGCUAAUACCGCAUACGUCCUGAGGGAGAAAGUGGGGGAUCUUCGGACCUCACGCUAUCAGAUGAGCCUAGGUCGGAUUAGCUAGUUGGUGGGGUAAAGGCCUACCAAGGCGACGAUCCGUAACUGGUCUGAGAGGAUGAUCAGUCACACUGGAACUGAGACACGGUCCAGACUCCUACGGGAGGCAGCAGUGGGGAAUAUUGGACAAUGGGCGAAAGCCUGAUCCAGCCAUGCCGCGUGUGUGAAGAAGGUCUUCGGAUUGUAAAGCACUUUAAGUUGGGAGGAAGGGCAGUAAGUUAAUACCUUGCUGUUUUGACGUUACCAACAGAAUAAGCACCGGCUAACUUCGUG
RNAcentral lists this ribosomal RNA (483 nucleotides) under uncultured bacterium. Its description in RNAcentral is "partial 16S ribosomal RNA". It matches the Rfam family "Bacterial small subunit ribosomal RNA", at positions 30 to 507 of the family's 1533-position model. The record is from RNAcentral.